AAGAUUCUGCAUGAAUAGAUUGGGUCUAAACUUGUAUUAAUUCCGUCAAUUACAAGGAAAGAUGUUUGGCUGACAGAGAUCAGCCUGGUUUUGAGAUCUACAGUAGCCGCUCAUAUAAGCAGCCCUAAAUUAGAAUAUCUACAAUCCUGGAAAAAUUAUUGUGGUCAGUGUGCGCAAAAAUACAAAUACCUGCCUUGCCCAAACAUACGUGCAAAAACAGCAUUUUUUAACUGUUGAAAAGCUUCUAGAUCGGUUAGGCGAAAGCUCUGUGACUGAUAGGGGAGAUGAAGAUGCCAAUAUGUGUAUGUGAACAGUAAUACUUUAAUCGUUCAC
Molecule: non-coding RNA, 333 nt
Organism: Paramuricea clavata
Lineage: Eukaryota; Metazoa; Cnidaria; Anthozoa; Malacalcyonacea; Plexauridae
Source: the annotation of a GenBank genome assembly